RNAcentral lists this unclassified non-coding RNA (258 nucleotides) under Glomeraceae sp. RNAcentral's name for it is "partial contains 5.8S ribosomal RNA and internal transcribed spacer 2". The stretch from base 1 to 71 matches the Rfam family "5.8S ribosomal RNA", at positions 84 to 154 of the family's 154-position model. Lineage: Eukaryota; Fungi; Glomeromycota; Glomeromycetes; Glomerales; Glomeraceae. The record is from RNAcentral.
GUGAAUCAUCGAAUUUUUGAACGCAAAUUGCACUCUCUGGUAUUCCGGAGAGUAUGCCUGUUUGAGGGUCAGUUUAAAUAAAAAUCGGUGUGGUUGCUGCCUUUCGUGGUGACGCACCGGAUUUGGGUCGUCUUGCUUUCGGUUAAGUGUCCUAAAAUUUUGCAUGAAUUUUUUCGAAUGUAUUUAAAUGAUAUUACGUACGUUUGUGAUAGAGUAUAUUCGGUGUGGUUAUCCUCAUGAUUCGUUCUUAUCAUUUUU